GAGGUGGGAAAAAUUGCAGUCCUAUUAAUAGCCAGACUUGACCUGCUUACAUUAAGACACUUGAUUCUCACUAUAGUGGGUCUCAGUUAAGUUCCUGGUCGCAAUCUAUGUGCUCACAGGAAGUGUGACAAGAGUAAGGAAUGAGUACAUGUAUGAACCAUGCGCGCCAUGAACUAAAUCUCAAAUCCUUCUCAUCAGACUGAGUAACAUAUACAGUUAUACACAGCAAAUAAACUUCAUCUAGACAGCUGAACUUCUACACUGUUAUCACAACUGGACUCCAGGAAAUAAUUGUAGUUGCCACAAUGGACACAAAUGGGACUGUCACUAUAAAUGUGACAUACACAGUGGAAUCUAGCCCUACCAUCAACCCACCAACCCUGGCACCCCAGUUAAACAAUACUACAGUAUACCAGACCCCAGUACAAAACCAACUGCCAACAGAAAUUAUUAUUGCAAUAGCUGUAGGAGCUGGUGUGUUUUUUAUCCUGGUGAUAGCACUACUUGUACUUAUCAUUUGUCUUCGCAAGAAUAG
This is a long non-coding RNA of Lingula anatina, 535 nucleotides long. Lineage: Eukaryota; Metazoa; Brachiopoda; Lingulata; Lingulida; Lingulidae. The record is from RefSeq and is a predicted model, not a curated record.